This 460-nucleotide ribosomal RNA is filed under the name uncultured bacterium. RNAcentral's name for it is "partial 16S ribosomal RNA". It matches the Rfam family "Bacterial small subunit ribosomal RNA", at positions 338 to 795 of the family's 1533-position model. The record is from RNAcentral.
CCUACGGGGGGCUGCAGUGAGGAAUAUUGGUCAAUGGCCGGAAGGCUGAACCAGCCAUGCCGCGUGAAGGUCAGUGCCCUAUGGGCGUUAAACUUCUUUUGUGCGGGAGCAAUAAUGGUCACGUGUGGCCAGACGAGAGUACCGUACGAAUAAGCAUCGGCUAACUCCGUGCCAGCAGCCGCGGUAAUACGGGGGAUGCAAGCGUUAUCCGGAUUUAUUGGGUUUAAAGGGUGCGUAGGCUGGGAGGUAAGUCAGCGGUGAAAUGCCCCCGCUCAACGGGGUGAAGUGCCAUUGAUACUGCCUGGCUGGAAUGCGGAUGCCGUGGGAGGAAUGUGUGGUGUAGCGGUGAAAUGCAUAAAUAUCACACAGAACACCGAUUGCGAAGGCAUCUCACGAAUCCGCGAUUGACGCUGAUGCACGAAAGCGUGGGUAUCAAACAGGAUUAGAUACCCGGGUAGUC